GGAUUGUGGCUCAGAGGUAGAGUGAUCACCUAGCACGAGCGAGGCCCUGGGUUCGAUCCUAAGCACCA
This 68-nucleotide transfer RNA is filed under the name Marmota monax (woodchuck). RNAcentral describes it as "tRNA.Ala". The record is from RNAcentral. Lineage: Eukaryota; Metazoa; Chordata; Mammalia; Rodentia; Sciuridae.